GUGGGGAAUAUUGCGCAAUGGGCGAAAGCCUGACGCAGCAACGCCGCGUGGGUGAUGAAGGCCUUCGGGUUGUAAAGCCCUGUCAGGUGGAACGAAUCUCUCUUGAGUGAAUACCUCGAGAGAAUGACGGUACCACCAGAGGAAGCCCCGGCAAACUACGUGCCAGCAGCCGCGGUAAUACGUAGGGGGCAAGCGUUGUUCGGAAUUACUGGGCGUAAAGAGCGCGUAGGCGGUUAGGUAAGUCGGGUGUGAAAUCCCUCAGCUCAACUGAGGUUUGGCGCUCGAAACUAUCUGACUUGAGUUUAGGAGAGGAGAGUGGAAUUCCCAGUGUAGCGGUGAAAUGCGUAGAUAUUGGGAGGAACACCGGUGGCGAAGGCGGCUCUCUGGACUAAUACUGACGCUGAGGCGCGAAAGCUAGGGGAGCAAACAGGAUUAGAUACCCGAGUAGUCC
RNAcentral lists this ribosomal RNA (451 nucleotides) under uncultured bacterium. RNAcentral describes it as "bacterial SSU rRNA". It matches the Rfam family "Bacterial small subunit ribosomal RNA", at positions 354 to 796 of the family's 1533-position model. The record is from RNAcentral.